This 27-nucleotide ribosomal RNA is filed under the name Periwinkle virescence phytoplasma. RNAcentral's name for it is "partial 23S ribosomal RNA". The record is from RNAcentral. Lineage: Bacteria; Bacillati; Mycoplasmatota; Mollicutes; Acholeplasmatales; Acholeplasmataceae.
GCCUUGGCACUAAGAGCCGAUGAAGGA